GCGUUGAAACGCUCGGUUCGACAAUCCGACGAGUGUACGCGAAGUUAUUGACGAAACGGUCAGUUUUGGUACAGAUAGCCGCAGCACGCGGGAUAAGCGCCUAAAAAUUGUGAGAUCGGAACCGGAGCAUCUUGGAGUCAAGGAAUAAGCACCGGAAAAGACGGAUCGCGAUUCGGAGGUCGUUCGCUAAGUCGCGCAAGAGUUCGGGCCCAAACGGGUGCCGAGUGCCGCGGGAGGCCGAUUGCAAGUGUCGACAAGCAAUCGGAACGCGAGUUAAGGUGGGUUGUGCUUACCGAAGCGACUAGGUCGCCCUUUAUGUCUUAGCAAUGUAAUCUCAUGUUGAUGCAUGUGCAUGUAGACAAGACUAAAUGGUGCAUUAAUAAAUAUGCAUA
Molecule: long non-coding RNA, 392 nt
Filed under: Ananas comosus (pineapple)
Lineage: Eukaryota; Viridiplantae; Streptophyta; Magnoliopsida; Poales; Bromeliaceae
Description: long non-coding RNA (ACOM_LNC039695)
Source: RNAcentral